AAAACAUACAUUUUAUGACUUCGGGGUGGUUUUUUUUUUCUCCAUAGAAUAAUAUACUAGUAGGUACUACAACAGUAUCCGAACGAGCUGUUAUAAAUUAGGCGGUCAAUAAUAAAAUAUGUUUGUGUGAAAAUUGUAUAGAUUUGUGUAUGCCUAAUGAAGAAACAAUAAGGUGUGUUAUUAUUUUCGGUGUAUAAACCAAUGUCACAUGUACAUUAAAUACCGACCGUUUUGUUUACGCGAGAUUUAGAAGUUGAAUAAUUCCAAAUGGAAUGACAAUAGAAACACUACGUUACGUACUGGGAAAUAUUCCUAAAUUCCUAAAGCACAUUUUAAUUCGCAGUAAAGUGUUGUUGCGG
Cinara cedri is the source of this 359-nucleotide non-coding RNA. Lineage: Eukaryota; Metazoa; Arthropoda; Insecta; Hemiptera; Aphididae. The record is from the annotation of a GenBank genome assembly.